GGCUGGGUCCUACGCAAUGCCCACUCGUGAACCGAGUCAGGGGUGGAAGCCAGCAGCUCUCAGCGUGUCUGGGCGUGUGCCGUAGUCAACCUGGCCAUC
Molecule: signal recognition particle RNA, 99 nt
Filed under: Actinomycetes bacterium
Lineage: Bacteria; Bacillati; Actinomycetota; Actinomycetes
Also listed under: 1 other name
Description: signal recognition particle sRNA small type
Rfam family: Bacterial small signal recognition particle RNA
About the family: The signal recognition particle (SRP) is a universally conserved ribonucleoprotein involved in the co-translational targeting of proteins to membranes. Archaeal SRP consists of a 7S RNA and homologues of the eukaryotic SRP19 and SRP54 proteins.
Source: RNAcentral